UACAUGGGGUGCAAACGUUGCUCGGAAUUAUUGGGCGUAAAGCGCGCGUAGGCGGUUACUUAAGUCGGAUGUGAAAGCCCUCGGCUUAACUGAGGAAAUGCACCCGAAACUGAGUAGCUAGAGUACGAAAGAGGGUCGCGGAAUUCCCGGUGUAGAGGUGAAAUUCGUAGAUAUCGGGAGGAACACCGGUGGCGAAGGCGGCGACCUGGGUCGAGACUGACGCUGAGACGCGAAAGCGUGGGGAGCAAACAGG
Molecule: ribosomal RNA, 253 nt
Filed under: uncultured bacterium
Lineage: Bacteria
Description: partial 16S ribosomal RNA
Rfam family: Bacterial small subunit ribosomal RNA
Source: RNAcentral